AUAUUCAUUUGACGUUAGCUGCAGAAGAAGCACCGGCUAACUCCGUGCCAGCAGCCGCGGUAAUACGGAGGGUGCGAGCGUUAAUCGGAAUUACUGGGCGUAAAGCGCAUGCAGGUGGUUUGUUAAGUCAGAUGUGAAAGCCCGGGGCUCAACCUCGGAAUUGCAUUUGAAACUGGCAAACUAGAGUACUGUAGAGGGGGUAGAAUUUCAGGUGUAGCGGUGAAAUGCGUAGAGAUCUGAAGGAAUACCGGUGGCGAAGGCGGCCCCCUGGACAGAUACUGACACUCAGAUGCGAAAGACGUGGGGAGGCAAACAAGGAGUUAGUAUACCCUCGGUAG
Molecule: ribosomal RNA, 338 nt
Filed under: uncultured bacterium
Lineage: Bacteria
Description: bacterial SSU rRNA
Rfam family: Bacterial small subunit ribosomal RNA
Source: RNAcentral